AAUCAACGCUGGCGGCGUGCCUCAGACAUGCAAGUCGAACGCGAAAUUUCCCUUCGGGGAGAAAGUAGAGUGGCGCACGGGUGAGUAACACGUGGGUAAUUUACCUUCGGGUGGGGAAUAACAACCGGAAACGGUUGCUAAUACCGCAUGAUGCAGCGGCACCACAUGGUGACAGUUGUUAAAGCGGGGGAUCGCAAGACCUCGCGCCUGAAGAGAAGCCCGCGGCAGAUUAGCUAGUUGGUAAGGUAAUGGCUUACCAAGGCAACGAUCUGUAGCCGGCCUGAGAGGGCGGUCGGCCACACUGACACUGAAUAACGGGUCAGACUCCUACGGGAGGCAGCAGUCGGGAAUUUUGGGCAAUGGGCGCAAGCCUGACCCAGCAACGCCGCG
This 390-nucleotide ribosomal RNA is filed under the name uncultured bacterium. Its description in RNAcentral is "bacterial SSU rRNA". It matches the Rfam family "Bacterial small subunit ribosomal RNA", at positions 32 to 401 of the family's 1533-position model. The record is from RNAcentral.